RNA transcript from Lineus longissimus, 4181 nucleotides. RefSeq lists it as uncharacterized. The transcript has 6 exons. Lineage: Eukaryota; Metazoa; Nemertea; Pilidiophora; Heteronemertea; Lineidae. The record is from RefSeq and is a predicted model, not a curated record.
GCAACAAGAUUUCAAAUGCAAUAGGCCUACUUUAUUAUGGCGUCUAGUAUCACCCCCGAUAUUUUGUCCUAUUCUGAGCAAAAAGGGCAUGAUGAGCCCGCUGAAGAAUCAGGAGAGAGUAGCCAAGGCAGUGAACAUCGUGUUAAAGGAGAGCCCAUAAGGCCAAUACCACGAAGAGCCUCGGCAUGGCGUGCUAUGAAUGCCGAGGAUCUGGGAAUUUUCUGGUGUAGAGAAAUGUAUGGAUACGAUGAAAUAUUCGAAAAAGCCCGUGUUCAGCAUGUUGAUGAUGGAUGUGGCAUUGCUGGUUGGGAAAACCUGGACAAGUUGGUCUCCCUCUACUCAAAAUACAUGGAUAACGUUUUUCGUUGCUCGCCAGCUGAAAUUAAGGAAGUAAACUUGAUUAUGACACGUUCUGAAUGCGCGAAAGAAGCUGAUCUGAUGCUGGUUCGUGAUGUUUGUGAUAAACUGAAAGAAAAUAUCAGCCGGCUUACUCUUCCUGAAACUUCGAGGAUAUGUGCAACACAGAUGAUGAUGGCUCAACCAUCGCCUUCGACAGAUUUCAAUGCCUGUAAACUCUUGGUGGACACUCGCUUGCCUAUACGAAGAGAUGGAGGCAGACCUAGCUGAUUGGCUCGAUGAGAGGCGUGCCCUGGGAAUGGCGAUAUCACAUCACAACAUCAAAGAUGCAUCGAGGGAACUGUAUCAACAGUGAAAUCCAGGUACACUUAUAUUUUUGCAACGAUUUGAAUCCAUCCUGCUGCGCUUCCUCAAGGGCAAGAAACCAUCGGAAAUAAAUUACCAAACACUAUUUGCAGAAUUUGCUAGUAUCUUUAUCAUAACCUUCUGUCCUGGAGAUAUGCAGCAAAUGGAUAUAUUUGGGAAAAAAGUGACCUCGACACCAGAUCUUCGCUAUGUUAAAUGCAAGGAUCAAGAUGUUUUAGUGGCGACAAUAGCUGAGGUUAAAAAAAUGCCAAAAAUAGCAGGUGGCCCUCCAGAGAAGCGUCGGCGCUUAAUUGAUGAGGACAUCAGUGAUGAUAGUGAUGAUGAUGAUGAGGAGGAGGAUUCUUUCUUGAGUGAUAAACUGCGUGGGCAGCAUGCAGCUGAGCUCCUACUUGAAGUAUCGGAAUCAAUCCUCCCCAUACAUGAGAAAAAAAGGCAUGUCCUGGGAUUGAUUAUACAAGGAACAAAUGUCUGUUUGACGGGUUUGGAAAUAGAUGAGGACCAUUUCAAGCAACUGCAGGAGCCUGUUUACAAAGAGCUUAAAGAUGAAAAGGCAAUGAUAUACCACACACGAUCCUAUGACAUGUUCAUCAAGGAAGAUCGUCAUCACCUUAUCAAAAUCUUGUUAACUUUGGUCAAAUUAGCCGACAAUAGGUAUUUGAUGCAUCUCCUUUACCCACAGGAUAAGCUAUGAAUAAAAAUUUCGAUGCUUGUUUUAGUUUUCUCUAUAAAGUGCAAAGGUGGGAACAGUGCUGUAUCGAUUUUGAGUCUGAUCCAGAACCCAAUACGGCUGCCAGAUGGCAAUCUCGCUUUUAAAUUUUUCUUUACUUACUAUGAACAUGUUAGUCUUGUUAUGAUCUAAACCUCUUCUUAUAAUGAACUGAAAAUUUACACUGUUAUAAAUUUGUCUCUGAAUUUGGUAUUUUUACUAAUCAAUUAUGUUUGAUGUAAUGAAUGAGUCUGAAUGAACUAACAUAGUGGAAGGUGUAUUUCAAGCCACACUUACUCUACAUGUAUUUCUUGGAGAACCAGCAUUACAGUCUUUGUUGCAAUCAAUAAUGAUGUGGGAGAGGAGCAAUUAGGAUACCAAAACCUAUUUCAGAAGGGGGGUCUUUGAGCCAAAUUAUUGGGACAUGAAUUUGUACAAACACAAACUAUAAGGAAAACGUUUUGGUGAAAACGUGGCACAACAGUACAAAAUCUUUUCGAUUUUUUUCGAUGGGAGUCUGACGAAAAGUUCGCUACUCUGAAAUUAAUGAUGGCAUUGCAACCAAAUUUAAUGUAUCUAUGUACUCGUAACAGUAUCCCCAGUUUUCAAUGUAAUCCGGUGACAAAUAUGGCCACUGCCAUCUUGAAUAUUACACUCCCUAGACUGUUGAACAUACUGCAUUGACAUUUAUUACGCGAGGUGAGCACAAGGUCCCUGGACCAUUCAUUUUUCCAGAACAGGUCACAUUUUCUGGUGCGGUUUUUUUUGUUAAUACAGAAUGACACAAAAUAAUUACAAUCAAGGAUGCCUAUAAUUGCAUCAAUACUUAUAGAGGAAACUAUUUUUCUCUUUUAACGUUUAACUUGCAUUGUAGUAUCGCUUUUUUGGUGACAGGGUAUAUCUACUGCAUAUGUAUGUAUAUUGCCAUGCCUUUUUGCUUCAUUCCUAUGAUCAUUUUAUCUUUCACUCACUCCCUGGUGUCUGUGUUAACUGUAUGUAAUGUCUCUUUCAAGUUUAGUCUGUAUUUCAUUAUGUGCUUGGUACACCUUUUUGGACGCUGACGAUGAGCUAGUUGUCAUUUCUAGAACAUGGUACUGGGUAUUAAAAAUAUGGCCACUUUUUUGUUUCUGUUUGAAAAUGGUUUAAAAAGAGACCCAACAUUUUUCCCAUACAAUACAUGUAUCUUCCCUUUUUAAUGAAAAUGCCUUAAGAUUAUUUUAGCAUUUGUUUUCUCAGUUUUGAUACUUUUUGUUCACAAAUUAGCAUAAAGAUUGUGUCUAUCUAAUGGCAGAUUUUUUUGGGUUUUGAACCAGAAUGAUGCUAACAUCAAAAGCUUCAGAAAGUGGCCAGAGAAAAGAGGAUACAGUUAAGUUGAUGAGCUGCCUAAGUUUACUUUGACAAAAAAUGUUUGUAGAAUUCAGAAGAUGAUUCAAGAAACCAUGUCUAAAUGUGCAACUGUUGUUACAAAGACAUUCACUGAUCACUUUCUAUCAUAACUUGACUUGAAAUAAACCCCAUGACUCUAGCAAAGGUACACAAGUCUUUUUAACCAAAGAUGGAUGAUCAUGUUAAAGGAGUUUGCCCGGCUUUAUGGCCCUGUUCAGUAUGUCUCACUGAUAGUGGCUCUGAGAUGGAGAAUGAUUAUGGAUUUUUAGAUUCGUUCAAUUUAAAGCCAGUCCCCAGAAUGCAGUAUGGUAUGAGAAUGUGCAAACUCCAGCUUUUUUGUAUGACCAGCUCAUGAUACAAGUCAGACCUUAUCUACUUUAUCUACAUGUAUGUAUAGAAAUUUUAAAAAGAAACUGAAAAAAGUACCAAACAAAUUAAGUGAUUUGCGAAUGAAAUAUUCACAUUAUGCUGACAACUGCAUUGAAUUUGGUGUAUUAGCUUGUGAGUGAUCAUACAUGUUUGAAUAGGUGUUGAUAAUUCACACAAGCUGGUACAUUUUAAUUUUUUUAGACAUUGAUAUUACUAUAAUGCACAUCAAACAUAAGAUUUUAUUGUCUUAUGCUACCAGGUGAUUUGACAUUGUUGUUGUUGAAAACAUUUUGUGUAUCGAUCUCGUACUUUUUCACAGUUUAGGAGAUCAUUAAUAUGUUUUGUGUAUUUUGUUUAUUUUUACUUGCAUGCAUAAAAGUUACAUUCACAGGCAGCAAAAAAGGAAAUGAUUGAAAUUAGGCCUAUUGGUACAGGAUUGUCGAAGUGCUAAUGCAAUUUCUUGAACUAAAAUGACUGCAAAUAUUUAUGGGUUUAUAGCACAAUGUUAACACGAAGUUGUUUAGGCGAAAGGACUGUGCCAUUUCGCAAUGGAAUCAUGGGAUUGCCCUCUCCCAAUACCAUGGCUGGUCGAUCAAGUUAAUUUUCAGUUCGCAAUCCCUUGAUUCAAAUCAUCAUAUAACACACUACAGUUCAUUUUAAGAACACUGACGUUCAUAUUUUGAAUACAAUGCAACUGAAUUGCGUUCUACAUGUAGGUCACUUUUAGUUUUUGAUUGCAUUAUUAAGUAUGUAUGUACAUUUUAUGUGCUUUUUUACAAGGAAACUGAAUUAUAUGCCAAAAUGUUUAGCUGCCUGGUACGCAAUGGGCCAUCUACCGAUAAUGCUAAUUGCUGAAUGGACUUGAGUAUAUUAAAGUAUACCCGUGUUAAUUCUUGAGGAGAGACCAAGCUAAUAUUCUGUUGUGUUCAGAAAGUGUCAUUUGGCUGUUAAAUACUAGUAUUCAAUUGUAAGAAAUAAAUUAUGGUACUGAUUCAAA